Long non-coding RNA from Oncorhynchus keta (chum salmon), 3797 nucleotides. RefSeq lists it as uncharacterized. Lineage: Eukaryota; Metazoa; Chordata; Actinopteri; Salmoniformes; Salmonidae. The transcript is spliced from 5 exons. The record is from RefSeq and is a predicted model, not a curated record.
GGGUUUUAUUCUGGCGACAUGAUCAUCGAUGAUUGGCUGCCGUAUGUCCAUAAUAAUCUCAUCAUGUAGGCUAUACCCACAAAGUAAUCUGCAAACUAUUGGCUCGAGCGCACAUGCCAAUACCAGAGUGGGCACGCACUAUAUAAUGCAAUUGUUUUGGCGAGAAACCCAUCAGUAGAGUUGAAAAUGCGACGGAAACCCAUUUACAGGAACUUGUAUGUCUUUAUUCGGUACAUGGGAAUUUAACCGCAAAAAGAAGGCCCGCAUCCCGGAGUCGCCUCUUCACUGUUGACAACCGCUCGCUUAACCCAGAAGCCAGCUGCACCAACGUGUCGGAGGAAACACUAUUGAACUUGCAGGCGCCCGGCCGGCCACAAGGAGUGGCUAGAGUGAGAUGAGCCAAGUAAAGCCCCCCCGGCCAAACCCUCCCCUAACCCGGACAUCACCCUUUGAGACUCCCGGUCACGGGGAUCCUACCCCAGGCUGGUAGUGAUGCCGCAACACUGCGAUGCAGUGCCUUAGACCGCUGCGCCAAACGAUUGGAGACACCCCAGAGUAUUGAGUUACAAAAAAAAAAAACAGUUCCUCCCCCUCCAUCUCCCUCCCACUUCCUCCCUCUCCUUCCCUCCCCAUCUCCCUGACAGACCCUUUUAACUGGAGAGAAUACGGUUUCAUAUUUCACUCUCGUGUCAACCAACAACACCGCAAAACUAUCAAUACUCACCAGCGAGUGAGCAAUGCAUAAUUGGGAGAUGUAGCUUGUAACCGCGCCAACCAGCGCCACGCCAACGGCACUGACGAUCCCCGCGAUGGUUCCGGUCUCCGCCAUGGUGUCUGGAACGAAGGGAGAACACAGAGAGGUGUUGUCUUUUCCAACGUCAAACAGAUCAUCGUCCGAGAAGGAGCCACCUAUAAUGCGGGAUAUAGGAUUACAUUAACUGGCAACCCUAACCUGACACACCAGGCUCCAAGCCAGGGACGGUCCCCAUACAAACAACGCCAAUGUCUCCAAAGGAAGGUCAUCGAGAGAGAGGACAAAGUUCAGCAGACGAGGAGUCAAUCACAGUGCUGGUUGCCAGAUUUCACCCGGGGAGGAAAAAGAGAAGAUUAGCCUUUGACAAGACCCAGCCGGAGUGAAACUACAGCCACCAUCCCCAUGCAAGUUGCCAGAUAUUAUGACCACAUUGGCAGGAAAUCGGAAGUGGUGCCUUUUUGAGGAUGUGGGUUUUGGAUAUAGACCAUCAGUCCUGCUUUCUUGCGCAGUACACCCACAGUACAAACUUGCCAAGAGGAAGCUUUUAGUAGAGUAUGUGUUAAAUACAUCCAAACACAGUACCCAUCCAAACGCAGUACACACGCUCAGUGUGUGCCCAGUCGAUAACUCCCCAGUAGGCCUUGUUAAUGGUGUGAGAGAGAAAUCGGAGGGAUAGAGAGAUGGAUAAAUGGAGAUGGAGAGGCAGAAAGUAAGAGAGAGAGACAGGGAGAGAUAAAGAGAGAGAGACAGGGAGAGAUAAAGAGAGAGAGACAGGGAGAGAUAAAGAGAGAGAGACAGGGAGAGAUAAAGAGAGAGAGACAGGCAUACAAGAUAGAGAGAGUGACAUAAAGACAGGACAGAUAGAGUCGAUAAUAAAGAGAGGAAUGAGGUUAAAUUGAACUAGGUAUUAUCCAAGAAGGUAUAAUCCAAAAAGCUAGUACCCAGCCCAGUAGACAGAGGCAGGACAGGCACAGUAGGGUUUAGUUUGGUCAGGUAGACCAUGUUGGUUAGGGUAGGUCAGGCAGGGUUCUUACCCCCAUUCCCCCCUCUGUUGUUGGAAGCUCCGGCACCCUUGCCCCCGCCUCCGAUACCUUUAUCUGACGAGCAAAUGACACCACAUCAACCUUCUGUAUACUAAUACUAUAAUAAUACUACUGCUCUACUAUAUUACCACUAUACUGUACUACUAUUACUAAUUUACAGUACUAUAGCCCACACACCAUCAACCCCCUGGUACUAAACUAAUACUACCACUAAUACUACUAUUUCUGGUGUCUAGAACAUUACUGCUAUUGUACAGCUAUACUAUGACUAUACUACUUAAUACUACACUACAACAUUAAAGGCAAUGUUUUUUUCUUUACAGAGAACUCACUCACGGUAAACGCUGCAUUAUGUUCAAUCGGAAAUUACCUGUAAAUGUCAAUUGCACUAUAAUCCGCGAUCCGGAUUGAAUCGAGGCCUAGUAAAUACCAUACUACUUCGCAGGACCAUGCGAUAGCAUCUGCAAAUCUGCGUACGCGAACAAUAAACCUGGACUUGAACCGGGACGGCGUUAUGGGCGGGUCUUGGGGGACCUGGUCGGCCUUACCGUACCUCCUUGCCGUCCAAAUAAAAUAUAGAAUAUUGAUCAUUUAUUUAACCGAGACGCGCGCCAACAGAAAGAUGGCGUGCGUCCAAAAUAAUUCUAGCAUCCGAACAGUGCACUCGCCAACUUUCCUUCAAUCUGCAAGUGUCUGAAUCAGCGCCCCUCUGUGUUACUAUAUGUUGACAAAAAAAAGACGUGGAAUGGGUUCGCACUCAAAAAUAUGUCGCAUAAAGCUUACUUCAAUAUUCCAUAUUUACUGCAUCAAGGGUUGGCGUUACACUGAUGUUUCCGCUUUUACAGCCUUCUCCGGUGUGUGGGUCCAAUUUUCUUUCAUUCACAACACCAUUUGUGCUAAUGAAACUACAAACUAUACCAGUUAUUAUUGAAGGAGACUGGUUAGUCACUUUUAAUGUCUCAUUUCUACAUACCAAUAUUCCAAAUGACGGCGGUAUGGAGGCCCUCAAAUUCUUCCUCUCGCUUAAGCGAGGUGCCGACAAAAAUUACAUAAUUGAGCUUGCAACAACUAGUGCAAAGAACCUAAAAAAACAACAUUAUUUGAUAAAUAUGACUAUCUACAGACUUUUGGAACAGCAAUGGGAACUCCAUUAGGGCCAUUAACUAUGCAAAUCCAUUUAUGGGGUAAUUCUAAUAGGAUUGUAUUGAUGAAAAUAAUCCUUACAAAGAUCGCGUUAAAUAUUGGACCAGAUAUAUAGACGAUUGCUUUAUGAUCUGGUCGGGUUACGAAAUUAAAUUACAUUUCUUAACUACAUUAACUCUGGAGUACAAUCAAUCUCAUUCACUAUGGAAAAUAACAUUAACUCUAUACAUUUCUUAGAUGUACUUGAUACAAAGAAGGGACAAUCUCUUAAGUACUACAGUUUACAGAAAAUACUAUAUCGACAGUUGAUAGUUAUCACCCUCUCCCUCUAAAAAUAGGUUUACCAGUAAGCCAACUUCAUAGACUGCGUCGCAUCUGUGACACAAACGAAGAAUAUGAUAGACAAUCAAAUUCUCUUCUUGAGCGUUUCCGCUUGAGAGGAUACCCGAUUCCUGGCUUGAUAAAGCUCCAAAACAAGUUCAAAGCUUGAACAGAAGCCAGUUACUUAAUAAAUCCCCACAAAAAGAUUAAACUGUUUCCCGUAAACUAUAUACUUACUUUCAAUGAUAGCCGUAAUGGCAUAAGGUCUAUUGUCAAUUAACACUGGUACAUUAUCAUCAGACUCCUCUUUAAAUUCUGCUUUUUAGAAUCUACCUCGCCUAUAAACGACCAAGAAAUCUAUCAAACGUAUUGGUUAAAAACAGAUGUGUUCAGAGAGAGAAAAGAGGCAUUCAUAAAAGGAUGCUUCCCCCUGUAGAUCUUCCCAUGUACUUCUUGUAGCAACAUAAGGAAAUGUUCCAACUUUGUAUGCCCUCAGACUUCUAGGACCUAUUAAAUAAAGUCACGUUUAACUUGCA